AUUUAUAGCUUGUGAUUAAUUUAGUUUUGCAACUGCUUAGAUAUCACUUUCAAGUGACUUCUAGUUUUAAGUUUUUAAGCUCUUCUAUUUGCAUUUGCUACUGAUUUUUCUUGUUUUUAGAUAGCCUGCUAAAAACCCAUUAGAGAACUAACAAAUGGUUUUGAAAAGCGAUCGUUCUUUUUUUCUUUUCUUUUCUUUUUCUUUUUCACUUCAAUCAGUUAUGGUGGCGACAUCCCAUCUCCCUUUUCGCUUUUGGCUGGGGAUUGGUCCAUGAUAACCCACAAAAGAUGGUUAUAAUAACAAAAGCCCAGUUCUCAUCAAACUAUGGCUGUUAGUUAGAACAGUUAUAAAGGGUUUUCUUGUAAAUUACUUUAAGAUGGUCUAAUAUAUAUGUUCCUUUAAUUAAUCUUGUGUUUUAUUUUUUUUUAAUUUAU
Molecule: unclassified non-coding RNA, 434 nt
Filed under: Hevea brasiliensis (rubber tree)
Lineage: Eukaryota; Viridiplantae; Streptophyta; Magnoliopsida; Malpighiales; Euphorbiaceae
Source: RNAcentral